Molecule: long non-coding RNA, 554 nt
Filed under: Falco tinnunculus (common kestrel)
Lineage: Eukaryota; Metazoa; Chordata; Aves; Falconiformes; Falconidae
Description: lncRNA (ENSFTIG00000007105.1)
Source: RNAcentral
GGCCUUACAGGAAGACCAGGACUCCCGGGAGACAAAGGCGCAAUGGGGAUCCCUGGGCGGCCGGGACUAAAAGGGCAACCGGGAGAGAAGGGUGCUCCAGGAGAAGCGGGCAUGUCUAUCAUUGGACCCCGUGGUCCACCCGGACAGCCUGGAACAAGAGGUUUUCCUGGAUUCCCGGGCCCUAUUGGCUUGGACGGCAAACCGGUAAGCAAACAGCUUGUCUCAAGACUUUCUGCCCUGCUUCCUGCUAGGCUGCACUGUCCUGUCAGCCUGCGUAUUAGAGAGUAUGUUUUCAAGAGGAUUAUUUUGCAAUGUCAUGCACAUGCUUGGAUUAAAAGAAAAUUAGAAGGUUGGCAGGCAGGAGGAUACCACAGAUGCCUUGGGGGAGAUGCAGGAGUCAGGAGAUUAGGGAAGGCAGAGUGUGGCUGUUUCCUUUCUAGGCAAACCUAUAAAAUAGCACUUCACAAGUGCAACAGCCUGGCUGCUGCAGGGAAAGCUUUAGCAGGCACUCCCACCCCAAGUCAGACAGGCAGAGCAGGUCCCCUAGGCACCAG